RNAcentral lists this ribosomal RNA (2926 nucleotides) under Escherichia coli. RNAcentral describes it as "bacterial LSU rRNA". It matches the Rfam family "Bacterial large subunit ribosomal RNA". Lineage: Bacteria; Pseudomonadati; Pseudomonadota; Gammaproteobacteria; Enterobacterales; Enterobacteriaceae. The record is from RNAcentral.
GGGUUGUGAGGUUAAGCGACUAAGCGUACACGGUGGAUGCCCUGGCAGUCAGAGGCGAUGAAGGACGUGCUAAUCUGCGAUAAGCGUCGGUAAGGUGAUAUGAACCGUUAUAACCGACGAUUUCCGAAUGGGGAAACCCAGUGUGUUUCGACACACUAUCAUUAACUGAAUCCAUAGGUUAAUGAGGCGAACCGGGGGAACUGAAACAUCUAAGUACCCCGAGGAAAAGAAAUCAACCGAGAUUCCCCCAGUAGCGGCGAGCGAACGGGGAGCAGCCCAGAGCCUGAAUCAGUGUGUGUGUUAGUGGAAGCGUCUGGAAAGGCGCGCGAUACAGGGUGACAGCCCCGUACACAAAAAUGCACAUGCUGUGAGCUCGAUGAGUAGGGCGGGACACGUGGUAUCCUGUCUGAAUAUGGGGGGACCAUCCUCCAAGGCUAAAUACUCCUGACUGACCGAUAGUGAACCAGUACCGUGAGGGAAAGGCGAAAAGAACCCCGGCGAGGGGAGUGAAAAAGAACCUGAAACCGUGUACGUACAAGCAGUGGGAGCACAGAGCAAUCUGUGUGACUGCGUACCUUUUGUAUAAUGGGUCAGCGACUUAUAUUCUGUAGCAAGGUUAACCGAAUAGGGGAGCCGAAGGGAAACCGAGUCUUAACUGGGCGUUAAGUUGCAGGGUAUAGACCCGAAACCCGGUGAUCUAGCCAUGGGCAGGUUGAAGGUUGGGUAACACUAACUGGAGGACCGAACCGACUAAUGUUGAAAAAUUAGCGGAUGACUUGUGGCUGGGGGUGAAAGGCCAAUCAAACCGGGAGAUAGCUGGUUCUCCCCGAAAGCUAUUUAGGUAGCGCCUCGUGAAUUCAUCUCCGGGGGUAGAGCACUGUUUCGGCAAGGGGGUCAUCCCGACUUACCAACCCGAUGCAAACUGCGAAUACCGGAGAAUGUUAUCACGGGAGACACACGGCGGGUGCUAACGUCCGUCGUGAAGAGGGAAACAACCCAGACCGCCAGCUAAGGUCCCAAAGUCAUGGUUAAGUGGGAAACGAUGUGGGAAGGCCCAGACAGCCAGGAUGUUGGCUUAGAAGCAGCCAUCAUUUAAAGAAAGCGUAAUAGCUCACUGGUCGAGUCGGCCUGCGCGGAAGAUGUAACGGGGCUAAACCAUGCACCGAAGCUGCGGCAGCGACACUAUGUGUUGUUGGGUAGGGGAGCGUUCUGUAAGCCUGUAAAGGUGUGCUGUGAGGCAUGCUGGAGGUAUCAGAAGUGCGAAUGCUGACAUAAGUAACGAUAAAGCGGGUGAAAAGCCCGCUCGCCGGAAGACCAAGGGUUCCUGUCCAACGUUAAUCGGGGCAGGGUGAGUCGACCCCUAAGGCGAGGCCGAAAGGCGUAGUCGAUGGGAAACAGGUUAAUAUUCCUGUACUUGGUGUUACUGCGAAGGGGGGACGGAGAAGGCUAUGUUGGCCGGGCGACGGUUGUCCCGGUUUAAGCGUGUAGGCUGGUUUUCCAGGCAAAUCCGGAAAAUCAAGGCUGAGGCGUGAUGACGAGGCACUACGGUGCUGAAGCAACAAAUGCCCUGCUUCCAGGAAAAGCCUCUAAGCAUCAGGUAACAUCAAAUCGUACCCCAAACCGACACAGGUGGUCAGGUAGAGAAUACCAAGGCGCUUGAGAGAACUCGGGUGAAGGAACUAGGCAAAAUGGUGCCGUAACUUCGGGAGAAGGCACGCUGAUAUGUAGGUGAAGCGACUUGCUCGUGGAGCUGAAAUCAGUCGAAGAUACCAGCUGGCUGCAACUGUUUAUUAAAAACACAGCACUGUGCAAACACGAAAGUGGACGUAUACGGUGUGACGCCUGCCCGGUGCCGGAAGGUUAAUUGAUGGGGUCAGCGCAAGCGAAGCUCUUGAUCGAAGCCCCGGUAAACGGCGGCCGUAACUAUAACGGUCCUAAGGUAGCGAAAUUCCUUGUCGGGUAAGUUCCGACCUGCACGAAUGGCGUAAUGAUGGCCAGGCUGUCUCCACCCGAGACUCAGUGAAAUUGAACUCGCUGUGAAGAUGCAGUGUACCCGCGGCAAGACGGAAAGACCCCGUGAACCUUUACUAUAGCUUGACACUGAACAUUGAGCCUUGAUGUGUAGGAUAGGUGGGAGGCUUUGAAGUGUGGACGCCAGUCUGCAUGGAGCCGACCUUGAAAUACCACCCUUUAAUGUUUGAUGUUCUAACGUUGACCCGUAAUCCGGGUUGCGGACAGUGUCUGGUGGGUAGUUUGACUGGGGCGGUCUCCUCCUAAAGAGUAACGGAGGAGCACGAAGGUUGGCUAAUCCUGGUCGGACAUCAGGAGGUUAGUGCAAUGGCAUAAGCCAGCUUGACUGCGAGCGUGACGGCGCGAGCAGGUGCGAAAGCAGGUCAUAGUGAUCCGGUGGUUCUGAAUGGAAGGGCCAUCGCUCAACGGAUAAAAGGUACUCCGGGGAUAACAGGCUGAUACCGCCCAAGAGUUCAUAUCGACGGCGGUGUUUGGCACCUCGAUGUCGGCUCAUCACAUCCUGGGGCUGAAGUAGGUCCCAAGGGUAUGGCUGUUCGCCAUUUAAAGUGGUACGCGAGCUGGGUUUAGAACGUCGUGAGACAGUUCGGUCCCUAUCUGCCGUGGGCGCUGGAGAACUGAGGGGGGCUGCUCCUAGUACGAGAGGACCGGAGUGGACGCAUCACUGGUGUUCGGGUUGUCAUGCCAAUGGCACUGCCCGGUAGCUAAAUGCGGAAGAGAUAAGUGCUGAAAGCAUCUAAGCACGAAACUUGCCCCGAGAUGAGUUCUCCCUGACUCCUUGAGAGUCCUGAAGGAACGUUGAAGACGACGACGUUGAUAGGCCGGGUGUGUAAGCGCAGCGAUGCGUUGAGCUAACCGGUACUAAUGAACCGUGAGGCUUAACCUUACAACGCCGAAG